Molecule: ribosomal RNA, 253 nt
Filed under: uncultured bacterium
Lineage: Bacteria
Description: partial 16S ribosomal RNA
Rfam family: Bacterial small subunit ribosomal RNA
Source: RNAcentral
UACGUAGGUGGCAAGCGUUGUCCGGAUUUACUGGGCGUAAAGAGCGCGCAGGCGGUCGUUCAAGUCGCGUGUGAAAGCCCCCGGCUCAACUGGGGAGGGUCACGCGAUACUGAUCGACUCGAAGGCAGGAGAGGGAAGUGGAAUUCCCGGUGUAGUGGUGAAAUGCGUAGAUAUCGGGAGGAACACCAGUGGCGAAGGCGGCUUCCUGGCCUGUUCUUGACGCUGAGGCGCGAAAGCUAGGGGAGCAAACGGG